UCUACCGGUAUAUUGCCUUUGU
Molecule: microRNA, 22 nt
Filed under: Gadus morhua (Atlantic cod)
Lineage: Eukaryota; Metazoa; Chordata; Actinopteri; Gadiformes; Gadidae
Description: gmo-miR-11277-3p
Source: miRBase by way of RNAcentral